AGUCACUGACAUUAGAUACCCCGGUAGUCCAGGGUGUAAACGCUGCAGACUUGGUGUUGGAGGCCCUUUGGGGGCAUUCAGUGCCGGAGAGAAGUUGUUAAGUCUGCUACUUGGGAGUACGUCCGCAAGGAUGAAACUUAAAGGAAUUGGCGGGGGAGCACCGCAACGGGAGGAGCGUGCGGUUUAAUUGGAUUCAACACCGUAAACUCACCAGGGAAGACUGUUACAUGAAGGCCGAGAUGAAGACUCUGCUAGAUUUUCAG
Molecule: ribosomal RNA, 263 nt
Filed under: uncultured archaeon
Lineage: Archaea
Description: partial 16S ribosomal RNA
Rfam family: Archaeal small subunit ribosomal RNA
Source: RNAcentral